RNAcentral lists this ribosomal RNA (229 nucleotides) under uncultured bacterium. Its description in RNAcentral is "partial 16S ribosomal RNA". It matches the Rfam family "Bacterial small subunit ribosomal RNA", at positions 568 to 796 of the family's 1533-position model. The record is from RNAcentral.
UGCGUAGGCGGAUUAAUAAGUCAGUGGUGAAAACCUGCAGCUUAACUGUAGAACUGCCAUUGAAACUGUUAUUCUUGAGUACGGUCAAGGUAGGCGGAAUGUGUAAUGUAGCGGUGAAAUGCUUAGAUAUUACACAGAACACCGAUUGCGAAGGCAGCUUACUGGGCCAUUACUGACGCUGAGGCACGAAAGCGUGGGGAGCGAACAGGAUUAGAUACCCUGGUAGUCC